Non-coding RNA from Gymnodraco acuticeps, 1223 nucleotides. The record is from the annotation of a RefSeq genome assembly. NCBI's taxonomy places the organism in Eukaryota, Metazoa, Chordata, Actinopteri, Perciformes, Bathydraconidae.
AUGUACUGCAGGGGGACCCCUAACACCACUUGAUAAAACACUGAAUGCUUUGCUCCAGCUCAGAGGAGGUUAUCACACAGACACUCCCCCCUGCAGCUCUUCAUACUUUAUGAGGCUCUGCAGUCCCUGUCAGACAUCAUGGACGUGAUCAUCUUUAAACACAGCUUCCUCACAGUGUCCAUCUUUUUACUUUGGACUACAGGUCUAACUGAUGGAAGCGAUGUCACCCAGACUGACAUGCUGUGGGAAACACAGGGAGAGAGUGCAACAAUGAACUGCACACACACAAAGGGUACUAGCUACUACCAGAUGUACUGGUACAGACAGCUGCCAGGAGAAACUAUGGAGCUAAUUGUGUUCACAACACCAGGGAACAAAGGUAAUCAUGAUUUUGGAGAAUUCGGCAAAGACAAGUUCUCAGCCACAAAGCCUGACGCUGAGAGCGGGACGUUCACAGUGAAGGGUCUGCAGCCAGGAGACAAAGGCUUGUACUUCUGUGCUGUGAGUCAACACAGUGACACACACACAGGACGAGGCUGAACAAAAACCCCAGAUAUUUGGCUGUUAGUGAUUCUAUGUGUCUGCUGUCCUGUAGGGGGACCUCCAGUUUAAUCACAGAAUCAUUCAGUUCAGAGACGCUCCCAGCUGUUCAUCUCUCUGUUGUAACCUCACACCUCCAUCACACACGGACUAUAACACUGAUCACAGCUGCUCUGAUUAAACUAACCCUAAACUGGAGGUUCUGGAUGUUACGACUCAUGACAGAGCUUAUGUGUUGAUGAUUCUGACAGUAGAGCAGAGACUCACUGGUGGUUCUGGAACAUGUGGUUUUGUGUUUGACCCUCACAGGAGUAUUGGUGGGAGUGAUGUGAUCCAGUCCUCUUUGCUUUAAACACUGCAGUCACACAAAGGACGUUAGCUCUAUCCAAAUGUUUUAAUGUGGGCUUCAAUCGACAAUUACUUUUUGUUAUGCAUUAACCUGCCCAUUAUUUUCUAGAUUAAUUGUUUAGUCUUCAAAAUGUCAGGAAAUAGUUAAAGUCCAUAGUAAUGUCUUGUUGUCAGUUUAUUACCCACACAUAUUUACUUUAUGUGAUCUAAAGAUUAGAUUUUUGAGGCUGAAACAUCUCAUUUACAUUGUUUACAUAAAAAUAUGUUUUGUUGAUUAGUCAAUGCAGCUCUACUCGUACCAUAUCUGAAUUGUUUACAUCACAUGACCAUCAGCU